UACGGAAGGUCCGGGCGUUAUCCGGAUUUAUUGGGUUUAAAGGGAGCGUAGGCCGUUUGUUAAGCGUGUUGUGAAAUGUCGGGGCUCAACCUGGGCAUUGCAGCGCGAACUGGCAGACUUGAGUGCGUGGGAAGUAGGCGGAAUUCGUCGUGUAGCGGUGAAAUGCUUAGAUAUGACGAAGAACUCCGAUUGCGAAGGCAGCCUGCUGUAGCGUAACUGACGCUGAAGCUCGAAAGCGUGGGUAUCGAACAGG
This 253-nucleotide ribosomal RNA is filed under the name Leyella stercorea DSM 18206. Its description in RNAcentral is "Prevotella stercorea DSM 18206 partial 16S ribosomal RNA". It matches the Rfam family "Bacterial small subunit ribosomal RNA", at positions 524 to 776 of the family's 1533-position model. The record is from RNAcentral. Lineage: Bacteria; Pseudomonadati; Bacteroidota; Bacteroidia; Bacteroidales; Prevotellaceae.